AUUCAAACAGAUAAAAAAGGUACUUUUCACAAUGUCAUUUUCCACUCUGAUAAGGCCAAGCCGCUCCUGGAGAAAAAUCGACUGAUCGAAAUUGAUGGCACCUUUAAGGUCGUUCCCAAGAUUUUGCAUUUUUACCAGCUUCUCACUGUUUUAGUGGUGUACAAUGGCAUCCCUCUGCCCCUAUUUUUGCUUUAAUGACAAGGAAGACAACAGAGGCAUAUUUAGCUGUCAUGGCCUAUUUGAAAUCAACUUUCAAUCUCUCACCUGGAAGCUUCAUCACUGACAGUGAAAUUCCGCUCGUCAAUUCCUUAAUUAUAACUUUUCCUGAUACCCCUCGGUCUAAUUGUUAUUUUCAUUACACGCAGGGAGUCACCCUUGAAACUUUGAAACUGGGUUUGAGACCGCUCGCAGUGGAAGGAAUGGGGCGAAAAAUUUUUGGUUGCCUCCUAGCUAUUCCUCUUCUCCCGGCCGAUAAAAUUUGGGAGAGAGUAAGGAGCAUGAAAGCUCUUAUUGAGAAAUUUGACAAAGGAGACUUUGAAGAAGAAAAAGAUAAUGAGGAUGCAGAUGAACCAGGGAACAGUGCAGAAGACAACGAAACAGAUGUUGGAAUUGAAGUUUUAGAAGAAAGAGUUAUACAGGUAGCAGAAGCAUUGAUUGCCCAAGAGGAAGCUGCAAGUAGUGAAAAUGGGGCUAGAGGUACAGAAGAGGAAGCAGCAACUAGUAAGAUGGAGCUAGAGGUACAGAAGAGGAAGCAGCAACUAGUGAAGAUGGAGCUAAAGGUACAGAAGGGGAAGUCAGCAAUGAAGAUGGAGUUAACAAUGAGGGCGAAAAGAGCAAGAGGUCAGGCUUCUUAA
Molecule: long non-coding RNA, 854 nt
Filed under: Bemisia tabaci
Lineage: Eukaryota; Metazoa; Arthropoda; Insecta; Hemiptera; Aleyrodidae
Description: lncRNA ENSSSA2NGG005339
Source: RNAcentral